RNAcentral lists this ribosomal RNA (253 nucleotides) under uncultured bacterium. RNAcentral describes it as "partial 16S ribosomal RNA". It matches the Rfam family "Bacterial small subunit ribosomal RNA", at positions 524 to 776 of the family's 1533-position model. The record is from RNAcentral.
UACGUAGGGUGCAAGCGUUAAUCGGAAUUACUGGGCGUAAAGCGUGCGCAGGCGGCUUUGCAAGACAGAUGUGAAAUCCCCGGGCUUAACUCGGAAAGGUCAACUGAUACUGCAGGGCUAGAGUGCAGAAGGGGCAACUGGAAUUCUCGGUGUAGCGGUGAAAUGCGUAGAUAUCGAGAGGAACACCUGCGGCGAAGGCGGGUUGCUGGGCUGACACUGACGCUGAAGCGCGAAAGCCAGGGGAGCGAACGGG